This 118-nucleotide ribosomal RNA is filed under the name Leucobryum boninense. Its description in RNAcentral is "partial 26S rRNA". It matches the Rfam family "Eukaryotic large subunit ribosomal RNA", at positions 1 to 118 of the family's 3401-position model. Lineage: Eukaryota; Viridiplantae; Streptophyta; Bryopsida; Dicranales; Leucobryaceae. The record is from RNAcentral.
AGACCUCUGAUCAGAAAAGACUACCCGCUGAGUUUAAGCAUAUCACUAAGCGGAGGAGAAGAAACUAACCAGGAUUUCCCUAGUAACGGCGAGCGAACCGGAAAGAGCCCAGCUUGAA